UACGGAGGGUGCUAGCGUUGUUCGGAAUUACUGGGCGUAAAGGGCGCGUAGGCGGCCGUUUGCGUCGGAUGUGAAAGCCCGGGGCUCAACCUCGGAACGGCAUUCGAUACGGGACGGCUGGAGACCGGGAGAGGAGAGUGGAAUAGCCAGUGUAGAGGUGAAAUUCGUAGAUAUUGGCUGGAACACCGGUGGCGAAAGCGGCUCUCUGGCCCGGCUCUGACGCUGAGGCGCGAAAGCGUGGGGAGCAAACAGG
Molecule: ribosomal RNA, 253 nt
Filed under: uncultured bacterium
Lineage: Bacteria
Description: partial 16S ribosomal RNA
Rfam family: Bacterial small subunit ribosomal RNA
Source: RNAcentral